Molecule: ribosomal RNA, 208 nt
Filed under: uncultured bacterium
Lineage: Bacteria
Description: partial 16S ribosomal RNA
Rfam family: Bacterial small subunit ribosomal RNA
Source: RNAcentral
CUCGUAGGCGGUUCGGCAAGUCGGAUGUGAAAUCUCCACGCUUAACGUGGAGGGGCCAUUCGAAACUGCCGUGACUCGAGUCCGGUAGGGGAGUGCGGAAUUCCCGGUGUAGCGGUGAAAUGCGCAGAUAUCGGGAGGAACACCAGUAGCGAAGGCGGCACUCUGGGCCGGAACUGACGCUGAGGAGCGAAAGCGUGGGGAGCGAACA